RNAcentral lists this transfer RNA (74 nucleotides) under Dolichoderus sibiricus. RNAcentral describes it as "tRNA-Thr". The record is from RNAcentral. Lineage: Eukaryota; Metazoa; Arthropoda; Insecta; Hymenoptera; Formicidae.
AGCUUUAUAGUUUAACUAAAACAUAAAUUUUGUAAAUUUAAAUUAUAUAAAUUAAUAUCGAUAUAUUAAAGCUU